GGAGGAAAAGAAACUAACAAGGAUUCCCCUAGUAGCGGCGAGCGAAGCGGGGAAGAGCUCAAAUUUAUAAUCUGGCACCUUCGGUGUCCGAGUNGUAAUCUCUAGAAGUGUUUUUCCGCGUUGGACCGCACACAAGUCUGUUGGAAUACAGCGGCAUAGUGGUGAAACCCCCGUAUAUGGUGCGGACGCCCAGCGCUUUGUGAUACACUUUCAAUGAGUCGAGUUGUUUGGGAAUGCAGCUCAAAUUGGGUGGUAAAUUCCAUCUAAAGCUAAAUAUUGGCGAGAGACCGAUAGCGAACAAGUACCGUGAGGGAAAGAUGAAAAGCACUUUGGAAAGAGAGUUAACAGUACGUGAAAUUGUUGGAAGGGAAACGCUUGAAGUCAGACUUGCUUGCCGGAGCUUGCUUCGGUUUGCAGGCCAGCAUCAGUUUUCCGGGGUGGAUAAUGACGGUUUGAAGGUAGCAGUCUCGGCUGUGUUAUAGCUUUCCGUUGGAUACAUNCNNGGGGGACUGAGGAACGCAGCGUGCUU
Molecule: ribosomal RNA, 529 nt
Filed under: Rhodotorula glutinis
Lineage: Eukaryota; Fungi; Basidiomycota; Microbotryomycetes; Sporidiobolales; Sporidiobolaceae
Description: eukaryotic LSU rRNA
Rfam family: Eukaryotic large subunit ribosomal RNA
Source: RNAcentral